GAUGAACGCUGGCGGCGUGCCUAAUACAUGCAAGUCGAGCGAACGGACGAGAAGCUUGCUUCUCUGAUGUUAGCGGCGGACGGGUGAGUAACACGUGGAUAACCUACCUAUAAGACUGGGAUAACUUCGGGAAACCGGAGCUAAUACCGGAUAAUAUUUUGAACCGCAUGGUUCAAAAGUGAAAGACGGUCUUGCUGUCACUUAUAGAUGGAUCCGCGCUGCAUUAGCUAGUUGGUAAGGUAACGGCUUACCAAGGCAACGAUGCAUAGCCGACCUGAGAGGGUGAUCGGCCACACUGGAACUGAGACACGGUCCAGACUCCUACGGGAGGCAGCAGUAGGGAAUCUUCCGCAAUGGGCGAAAGACUGACGGAGCAACGACGCGUGAGUGAUGAAGGUCUUCGGAUAGUAAAACUCUGUUAUUAGGGAAGAACAUAUGUGUAAGUAACUGUGCAAAUCUUGACGGUACCUAAUCAGAAAGCCACGGCUAACUACGUG
RNAcentral lists this ribosomal RNA (497 nucleotides) under uncultured bacterium. Its description in RNAcentral is "partial 16S ribosomal RNA". It matches the Rfam family "Bacterial small subunit ribosomal RNA", at positions 28 to 507 of the family's 1533-position model. The record is from RNAcentral.